RNAcentral lists this ribosomal RNA (1123 nucleotides) under Salmonella enterica. Its description in RNAcentral is "partial 23S ribosomal RNA". It matches the Rfam family "Bacterial large subunit ribosomal RNA", at positions 711 to 1747 of the family's 2925-position model. The record is from RNAcentral. RNAcentral also lists the same sequence under 2 other names. Lineage: Bacteria; Pseudomonadati; Pseudomonadota; Gammaproteobacteria; Enterobacterales; Enterobacteriaceae.
AGACCCGAAACCCGGUGAUCUAGCCAUGGGCAGGUUGAAGGUUGGGUAACACUAACUGGAGGACCGAACCGACUAAUGUUGAAAAAUUAGCGGAUGACCUGUGGCUGGGGGUGAAAGGCCAAUCAAACCGGGAGAUAGCUGGUUCUCCCCGAAAGCUAUUUAGGUAGCGCCUCGUGAAUUCAUCUCCGGGGGUAGAGCACUGUUUCGGCUAGGGGGCCAUCCCGGCUUACCAACCCGAUGCAAACUGCGAAUACCGGAGAAUGUUAUCACGGGAGACACACGGCGGGUGCUAACGUCCGUCGUGAAGAGGGAAACAACCCAGACCGCCAGCUAAGGUCCCAAAGUCAUGGUUAAGUGGGAAACGAUGUGGGAAGGCCCAGACAGCCAGGAUGUUGGCUUAGAAGCAGCCAUCAUUUAAAGAAAGCGUAAUAGCUCACUGGUCGAGUCGGCCUGCGCGGAAGAUGUAACGGGGCUAAACCAUGCACCGAAGCUGCGGCAGCGAACGUAUCACCCAAGACAACUUUACGGAGUUGACGAUUGACGGAGCGAAGCGACGUCAAAGCGUUCAUUAAAGUCGAGUUGGCUUAGGGAUACGUUCGUUGGGUAGGGGAGCGUUCUGUAAGCCUGUGAAGGUGUGUCGUGAGGCAUGCUGGAGGUAUCAGAAGUGCGAAUGCUGACAUAAGUAACGAUAAAGCGGGUGAAAAGCCCGCUCGCCGGAAGACCAAGGGUUCCUGUCCAACGUUAAUCGGGGCAGGGUGAGUCGACCCCUAAGGCGAGGCCGAAAGGCGUAGUCGAUGGGAAACGGGUUAAUAUUCCCGUACUUGGUGUUACUGCGAAGGGGGGACGGAGAAGGCUAUGUUGGCCGGGCGACGGUUGUCCCGGUUUAAGCGUGUAGGUGUGUGUUCCAGGUAAAUCCGGUUCACUUUAACACUGAGGCGUGACGACGAGGCACUACGGUGCUGAAGCAACAAAUGCCCUGCUUCCAGGAAAAGCCUCUAAGCAUCAGGUAACACGAAAUCGUACCCCAAACCGACACAGGUGGUCAGGUAGAGAAUACCAAGGCGCUUGAGAGAACUCGGGUGAAGGAACUAGGCAAAAUGGUGCCGUAACUUCGGGAGAAGGC